Molecule: RNA transcript, 1477 nt
Organism: Centropristis striata (black sea bass)
Lineage: Eukaryota; Metazoa; Chordata; Actinopteri; Perciformes; Serranidae
Gene name: RNA-binding protein with multiple splicing-like
Exons: 8
Source: RefSeq, a predicted model, not a curated record
CAAAAAUCCAAUACCAGCUAAAAAAAUUUUUUUUUUUUUUUUUACAAGUCGUUCUGACUAUGCAGGAGGAUAUAAGCCAUGACAGACACCCCGCUGGAAUAAUAUUGCAGGAAUGUUGCAGUGACUAAAAUAACAUUCAGCUGGUCUUGAAAGGCGAGUGGUGAUUGGCACCGAUUUUCCACUGUCGCUCCUAACAGCACUUGAUAAAACUUGAUAAAGCCCAGCAGCAGCAGACGGUGCAUCCCACCCUAGACCCCACCCUAAACCCCUCCCUCAUCCCUCCCACCCUCCCUCCCUGCCUGCCUCACGCGGAGAUGGGGAGAAGUUUGCCUGCGGCGCAGUCCACUGAACAUUUACCGUGUUUCAUUUGGGGAACAGCAACAAGAGCCUGCGGAGAAGCUUUCCAGGGAAUGCUGAGGAAUAUCUGACAGCACAGAAACACCAUCCACAGCUGACUUUUUCCCUCUUUUAAAAUACCAAAAAAAAAAAAAAAAAAAAUCUUUACCUAUCAUUGAUGUCGCCAAAGUAGUGGGAAGCUCGGGUCAGUAGGACAGCGGCCGCACGCGGACUGUUGUCUAUCUGAGGGUGCUUUUAAAAAAAAAAAAAAAUAGGUCCCGAAGAAGAAGAACCACCGAAAGACGCAAAAGAAGAAGAAGACAGUCCACGUGAAAGUGAUACAAGAGUCCGACUCAGAAUGAAUAACAACAAAAUCGAGAAGGAAAACGAGCAGAGUGAAUUCACCAACCACGAAGAGGAGGUCCGAACACUAUUUGUCAGUGGACUACCACUGGAUAUUAAGCCGCGGGAGCUCUAUCUCCUGUUCAGACCAUUUAAGGGUUAUGAAGGCUCCUUGAUAAAACUCACUUCCAAACAGCCAGUGGGGUUUGUCAGCUUUGACAGUCGAUCAGAGGCGGAGGCUGCUAAGAAUGCCUUGAACGGGGUCCGGUUUGAUCCAGAGAUCCCCCAGACCCUUCGGCUGGAGUUCGCCAAGGCCAACACCAAGAUGGCCAAGAACAAGCUGGUGGGGACCCCCAACCCCCUGCCCUCCCAGCAGAGCCCGGGGCCACAGUUCAUCAGCAGAGACCCAUAUUCGCUGGCUCCCUCCUGCAGAUGGAACUCCUCAGGGAUGGAAGUCCAGGCAGUUCUGCUGAAGUAUGUGUUCCUGAUGUGUGAUGGUGGCCGUGGCCGGCUGUGACGGGCGUUGCUGAUUGCCUCUCGUGUCCAAUUAGAAAGCAGGAGGACUGACCCGACUCUGGCUCACGGAGCAGCGUACCGUCGGCAGCAGCAGCCUCGUGGGCCUCAGGACAUACCAGACCCCAGCCUCCAUCACACAUCGAGCCCCCCCCUCGUCCCCCUCGCCCUCCCCAAAGUCCUUCCAACUCUUUUUUAUACUGUUACAUACUCGAGAUUUACCGGCAGUGCUUUGGCUACACCUCCUCUGACACCUCCAUGAAAGGUACCGGGCAUGCAUGACAAA